UACGGAGGGUGCAAGCGUUAUCCGGAUUUACUGGGUUUAAAGGGUGUGUAGGCGGACUUUUAAGUCAGGGGUGAAAUCCCGAGGCUCAACCUCGGAACUGCCUUUGAUACUAUUGGUCUUGAAUAUUGUGGAGGUGAGCGGAAUAUGUCAUGUAGCGGUGAAAUGCUUAGAUAUGACAUAGAACACCAAUUGCGAAGGCAGCUCGCUACACAUAUAUUGACUCUGAGGCACGAAAGCGUGGGGAUCAAACAGG
This 253-nucleotide ribosomal RNA is filed under the name uncultured bacterium. RNAcentral's name for it is "partial 16S ribosomal RNA". It matches the Rfam family "Bacterial small subunit ribosomal RNA", at positions 524 to 776 of the family's 1533-position model. The record is from RNAcentral.